Molecule: ribosomal RNA, 253 nt
Filed under: uncultured bacterium
Lineage: Bacteria
Description: partial 16S ribosomal RNA
Rfam family: Bacterial small subunit ribosomal RNA
Source: RNAcentral
UACGAAGGGGGCUAGCGUUGCUCGGAAUCACUGGGCGUAAAGCGCACGUAGGCGGCUUUUUAAGUCAGAGGUGAAAUCCUGGAGCUCAACUCCAGAACUGCCUUUGAUACUGGAGAGCUUGAGUCCGGGAGAGGUGAGUGGAACUGCGAGUGUAGAGGUGAAAUUCGUAGAUAUUCGCAAGAACACCAGUGGCGAAGGCGGCUCACUGGCCCGAUACUGACGCUGAUGCACGAAAGCGUGGGGAGCAAACAGG